RNAcentral lists this RNase P RNA (409 nucleotides) under Candidatus Staskawiczbacteria bacterium RIFCSPLOWO2_01_FULL_37_25b. Its description in RNAcentral is "RNase P RNA component class A". It matches the Rfam family "Bacterial RNase P class A". From Rfam's summary of the family: Ribonuclease P (RNase P) is a ubiquitous endoribonuclease, found in archaea, bacteria and eukarya as well as chloroplasts and mitochondria. The record is from RNAcentral. Lineage: Bacteria; Candidatus Staskawicziibacteriota.
UCAGCAAGAUGAGUGAUUGCUCUCUGUAUUUGCAGGGAGAGGAAAGUCCGAACGCCAUCCCGCUAAGCGGGAUAAAAUAAUAGCGGCUAACAGCCGUCCAUCGUAAGAUGCGAGGUGCGAACAGAAACGGCUUNNNNNNNNNNNNNNNNNNNNCUUGGACCGAAAGGUUCAGCAUCCCUUCAUGGGAUAAUUUUACAGCAAUGUAAAAAUGAAACGGCUAAAUCCUUAUUGGGCGCAAGAACAAAGCCCUGCUCAUUGUUUCAUCAUUGAAAAGGGUUAAAAGUAGUUCGCCACUGGUCGCGAGAAUUAUACGCAAAGCGGAAAUUCCCGACCUAGAGCCAAAGAGUAAUUUUUGGCCAAGACAGAUAAUCACUUAAAACAGAAUUCGGCUUACGGUCUUGCUGAGACA